UACGAAGGGGGCUAGCGUUGCUCGGAAUGACUGGGCGUAAAGGGCGCGUAGGCGGCUUGCACAGUCAGGCGUGAAAUUCCUGGGCUCAACCUGGGGACUGCGCUUGAGACGUGUGGGCUUGAGUGGGGAAGAGGGUCGUGGAAUUCCCAGUGUAGAGGUGAAAUUCGUAGAUAUUGGGAAGAACACCGGUGGCGAAGGCGGCGACCUGGUCCUUGACUGACGCUGAGGCGACGAAAGCGUGGGGGAGCAAACAGG
RNAcentral lists this ribosomal RNA (255 nucleotides) under uncultured bacterium. RNAcentral's name for it is "partial 16S ribosomal RNA". It matches the Rfam family "Bacterial small subunit ribosomal RNA", at positions 524 to 776 of the family's 1533-position model. The record is from RNAcentral.